GGGGGCAUAGAAAUCAUGCUUUGGGAGAGCGCUUGAAUGGCAUUCAAGAGGUCAGCGGUUCGAUCCCGCUUAUCUCCACCA
Molecule: transfer RNA, 81 nt
Filed under: Bacteroides ovatus
Lineage: Bacteria; Pseudomonadati; Bacteroidota; Bacteroidia; Bacteroidales; Bacteroidaceae
Also listed under: 2 other names
Description: tRNA-Ala
Rfam family: tRNA (bases 9-78)
About the family: Transfer RNA (tRNA) molecules are approximately 80 nucleotides in length.
Source: RNAcentral